This 425-nucleotide ribosomal RNA is filed under the name uncultured bacterium. RNAcentral's name for it is "partial 16S ribosomal RNA". It matches the Rfam family "Bacterial small subunit ribosomal RNA", at positions 354 to 796 of the family's 1533-position model. The record is from RNAcentral.
GUGGGGAAUAUUGGGCAAUGGGCGAAAGCCUGACCCAGCAACGCCGCGUGAAGGAAGAAGGUUUUCGGAUCGUAAACUUCUAUCCUUGGUGAAGAUAAUGACGGUAGCCAAGAAGGAAGCCCCGGCUAACUACGUGCCAGCAGCCGCGGUAAUACGUAGGGGGCAAGCGUUGUCCGGAAUGAUUGGGCGUAAAGGGCGCGUAGGCGGCCUGGUAAGUCUGGAGUAAAAGUCCUGCUUUUAAGGUGGGAAUUGCUUUGGAUACUGGCGGGCUUGAGUGCAGGAGAGGUAAGUGGAAUUCCCGGUGUAGCGGUGAAAUGCGUAGAGAUCGGGAGGAACACCAGUGGCGAAGGCGACUUACUGGACUGUAACUGACGCUGAGGCGCGAAAGUGUGGGGAGCAAACAGGAUUAGAUACCCGGGUAGUCC